GGGGGCGUGUGGUUUCGACAGGGGGCAGGCCUACAGAACUGCAAGUCGAGGCGCCAUCUACCUCGUUAAAAAGGUGGCAAAAGACAACUGCCGAAGCAGUUCCGAUUGCAGCCUAACUAAAGGUUGCACAUCCAGCCUGACCUCACCCCGAUGGGUUGGGAUUGGGUGACGAACAGUCGGGGUGCUCCAACCCUGAUGUCGAUGAAGGGUUGGCUAAGAACUGAUCGACUGGCCUAGCUAAACUUGGCCGGCAGAGGUUAGCUGGGUGAGAUUAAAGCGCUGGCUAAACUUGUAGCAGGUUCUGGCAACCUUCUUCUGGACGGGGAGUUCAACCCUCCCCCGCCUCCACCA
RNAcentral lists this transfer-messenger RNA (351 nucleotides) under Dehalococcoidia. Its description in RNAcentral is "VGOF01 sp016875975 Standard tmRNA". It matches the Rfam family "transfer-messenger RNA". From Rfam's summary of the family: Bacterial tmRNA, also known as 10Sa RNA or SsrA, is named for its dual tRNA and mRNA-like properties. Its role is to liberate the mRNA from a stalled ribosome. Lineage: Bacteria; Bacillati; Chloroflexota. RNAcentral also lists the same sequence under 1 other name. The record is from RNAcentral.